RNA transcript from Zea mays, 655 nucleotides. RefSeq lists it as uncharacterized. The record is from RefSeq and is marked validated. The transcript has 3 exons. Lineage: Eukaryota; Viridiplantae; Streptophyta; Magnoliopsida; Poales; Poaceae.
CUCCCCACAGCAUGGUUGCCAUGUGCAGGGACACCUGCCCCUAUAUUCAGUGCCUUGGGGCUGAAUUUAGUGAAGUUCUCCUCCCCUACCCUCAACCUCUAGCCAAAGUAGUUGCGUGUGCGUUGUAGUUCCUGUGUCCACGACAGUUUUAGCUCCCCUCCUCAGCCACUAGAUCGAUCUGCCCUUGUUCAUCACAGCCAACUCAUGUGUCUGGUGACCACAACAGCAAUCCUUCAACCUCACCAUGGCCAGGGUUCGUGGAGAUUGUCUCGGCCGUGUUGUGCCCGUUCCUUGUUCCUCACAGAAAUUCCCAGAAGAAGAUGAUAAAAUUCAAGAAGUCGUUUCUGAAGAGGAGUCUGCUUCAGUGCCUGCUCAUCAAGUGAUGGGAGCCAUCUAACUGGGGUUUAAUAGAGGGAUUUAGACCUCCGUCUCUGCAACAAAGGUGAUGAGGAGUACUCUAGAUGUUCCUGAGGCUGGAGAGCGUUUCUAGUUCUGGAGGAGGACUAGCUAGGUUUAUGUGUAAGCUUUGGAGGGUUUCUACCUUCCUGCUUUUGUAAUAAGUUAUGCACUUUGAGUAUAUCAGUACUUGUAAUAAAUAUUAUUCUUUCAAAACAUGUAAAACUUGAGUUUUGAAAAGGUAAAGAAUGUUUGUAAA